AGAGUUUGAUCCUGGCUCAGAAUGAACGCUGGCGGCGUGCCUAACACAUGCAAGUCGAACGAGAAAUCCUGGCUUCGGCCGGGAAAGUAAAGUGGCGCACGGGUGAGUAACGCGUGGGUAAUCUGUCCUCAAAUCUGGGAUAACUUCGCGAAAGCGAUGCUAAUACCGGAUAUCGUCCAUGAGACUGUGGUCUUUUGGAUGAAAGGUGACCUCUUCAUGAAAGUUGCCGUUUGGGGAGGAGCCCGCGUACCAUUAGCUUGUUGGUGGGGUAAUGGCCUACCAAGGCUACGAUGGUUAGCUGGUCUGAGAGGAUGAUCAGCCACACUGGAACUGAAACACGGUCCAGACUCCUACGGGAGGCAGCAGUGAGGAAUUUUGCGCAAUGGGGGAAACCCUGACGCAGCAACGCCGCGCGAGUGAUGAAGACCCUCGGGUCGUAAAGCUCUGUCAAGUGGGAAAAAAUAUUUCCGGUUAAUACCCGGAAGGAUUGAUGGUACCGCUGGAGGAAGCACCGGCUAACUCCGUGCCAGCAGCCGCGGUAAUACGGAGGGUGCAAGCGUUGUUCGGAAUUACUGGGCGUAAAGGGCGUGUAGGCGGUUUGGCAAGUCAGAUGUGAAAGCCCUGGGCUCAACCCAGGAAGUGCAUUUGAAACUACCAUCCUAGAGUAUGGGAGAGGAGAGUGGAAUUCCCAGUGUAGAGGUGAAAUUCGUAGAUAUUGGGAGGAACACCGGUGGCGAAGGCGACUCUCUGGACCAAUACUGACGCUGAGACGCGAAAGCGUGGGGAGCAAACAGGAUUAG
This 800-nucleotide ribosomal RNA is filed under the name uncultured bacterium. RNAcentral describes it as "bacterial SSU rRNA". It matches the Rfam family "Bacterial small subunit ribosomal RNA", at positions 8 to 781 of the family's 1533-position model. The record is from RNAcentral.